GUGGAUUAGAUACCCUGGUAGUCCACGCCCUAAACGAUGUCAACUAGAUGUUGGAAGGGUUAAACCUUUUAGUGUCGCAGCUAACGCGUGAAGUUGACCGCCUGGGGAGUACGGCCGCAAGGCUAAAACUCAAAGGAAUUGACGGGGACCCGCACAAGCGGUGGAUGAUGUGGAUUAAUUCGAUGCAACGCGAAAAACCGGACCUACCCUUGACAUGUCAGGAAUUCCGAAGAGAUUUGGAAGUGCCCGAAAGGGAACCUGAACACAGGUGCUGCAUGGCUGUCGACAACU
Molecule: ribosomal RNA, 291 nt
Filed under: uncultured bacterium
Lineage: Bacteria
Description: partial 16S ribosomal RNA
Rfam family: Bacterial small subunit ribosomal RNA
Source: RNAcentral